UGACCAUGCAUGAGGUCGUGUCGACAUGCGGGCCCAACCGUUGCCGCAACCCGUUCCACAUCGAGGGACGAUGACGCGGCUUGCUUUGGAAGAAGGGCGCAUCUCUAAUUUGCGGUCAAAGAUCGAAUUCCCAUCGGUUCGCGCAAGCGCCUGCAUGGCUGCAUGUGCGCCUGGCAAUUCAGUUGGCAUCAGGUUGGCGCAGCAUCCUGAAGGUAAUGGUGAAUCGCCGGGUUCUAGCCGCAAGGCUGCCACCACGGCCGAUCGGG
Molecule: long non-coding RNA, 266 nt
Filed under: Volvox carteri
Lineage: Eukaryota; Viridiplantae; Chlorophyta; Chlorophyceae; Chlamydomonadales; Volvocaceae
Description: long non-coding RNA (VCAR_LNC000787)
Source: RNAcentral